GUGCAGCAGGCGAGAAUUUUUCUCAAUGGGGGAAACCCUGAAGGAGCGACGCCGCGUGGAGGAUGAAGGUCUUCGGGUUGUAAACUCCUGUCAUUUGAGAACAAGGUGCACAUGUUAACUGCAUGUGCAUCGAUAGUAUCAGAAGAGGAAGGGACGGCUAACUCUGUGCCAGCAGCCGCGGUAAUACAGAGGUCCCAAGCGUUGUUCGGAUUCAUUGGGCGUAAAGGGUGUGUAGGUGGCGCCGUAAGUCGGGUGUGAAAUCUCGGGGCUUAACUCCGAAACUGCAUUCGAUACUGCGGUGCUUGAGGACG
Molecule: ribosomal RNA, 311 nt
Filed under: uncultured organism
Description: bacterial SSU rRNA
Rfam family: Bacterial small subunit ribosomal RNA
Source: RNAcentral